CCUACGGGAGGCUGCAGUGGGGAAUAUUGGACAAUGGGCGAAAGCCUGAUCCAGCCAUGCCGCGUGUGUGAAGAAGGCCUUCGGGUUGUAAAGCACUUUCAGUGGGGAAGAAAGCCUUGGGGCUAAUACCCUCGAGGAAGGACAUCACCCACAGAAGAAGCACCGGCUAACUCCGUGCCAGCAGCCGCGGUAAUACGGAGGGUGCGAGCGUUAAUCGGAAUUACUGGGCGUAAAGCGCGCGUAGGCGGUCUGAUAAGCCGGUUGUGAAAGCCCCGGGCCAACCUGGGAACGGCAUCGGAACUGUCAGGCUAGAGUGCAGGAGAGGAAGGUAGAAUUCCCGGUGUAGCGGUGAAAUGCGUAGAGAUCGGGAGGAAUACCAGUGGCGAAGGCGGCCUUCUGGACUGACACUGACGCUGAGGUGCGAAAGCGUGGGUAGCAAACAGGAUUAGAUACCCCAGUAGUC
RNAcentral lists this ribosomal RNA (463 nucleotides) under Vreelandella stevensii. RNAcentral describes it as "partial 16S ribosomal RNA". It matches the Rfam family "Bacterial small subunit ribosomal RNA", at positions 338 to 795 of the family's 1533-position model. The record is from RNAcentral. Lineage: Bacteria; Pseudomonadati; Pseudomonadota; Gammaproteobacteria; Oceanospirillales; Halomonadaceae.